AUGAUUUUCAAAGGAUGUGCUGGCAACUAAACAGUUGCAUGUGCACUCUGACAUCAUUCACCUGUGCACAUUUUGUAGAUGGGAGGUAGCAGCAAUGUUAUCUCAUUGUCUAUGAUUUUUUACACCCUGUUUAAAAAAAAUUGUAUGCAUUUGAAAAUAAAUA
Molecule: unclassified non-coding RNA, 163 nt
Filed under: Hodophilus foetens
Lineage: Eukaryota; Fungi; Basidiomycota; Agaricomycetes; Agaricales; Clavariaceae
Description: internal transcribe spacer 1
Source: RNAcentral